This 828-nucleotide long non-coding RNA is filed under the name Ananas comosus (pineapple). RNAcentral describes it as "long non-coding RNA (ACOM_LNC014780)". The record is from RNAcentral. Lineage: Eukaryota; Viridiplantae; Streptophyta; Magnoliopsida; Poales; Bromeliaceae.
AUAAAAAAAAUGUCUACAGAGAAAGAGUACACAGCGAAGCGAUGAUAAGAUAUGGGAUUCAUCUUGCCGAUGAAGGAAGGUAAUAGUUGGAGGAAGUGGAAGAGGAACAAUUCGGCCUAAUACAGAGGUGUAAUCCGAUUCGGUUCAGAUCAAGCAAAAAAGAGAAAAUUAUAUGGAGCAGCUUAACCAGCUCAAGAAGCCCAAACUCAACAAUGAUUGAUUUUGUUCAAGUAAAGAAAGAAAAAAAAAAAAUUUCAGAUCAGUCCAUGCAAAGAAAAAAAUAUAUAUAUGAAAAACUUGAGCCGGUUCGGAAUAGAAUCCACACUCAAUAAUGAAGAGAAUGUUGCCGUAUGAAAAAUUUAGAGAGAAUAAUAUACAGGUAUAAAGAUAUGAUACCUAUUGUUUGAUAGUUAAUUAUAUUGAGAAAAAAUGUAUAAAAUUUAUCAUAGGUAUCACCUUUUUUUUUUAAUCUGACUAUCGCAUCUUUUAAAAAUUUUAAUUUUGCUACCUGAUCUUUUAAUUUAUUUGAUUUGAGCCAAUUAAAAAAAUUUUAACUUAAAAAUUUGCAUGUAUCGUUUAUUUUAUGAAUUUAAUUUGUAUAUUUUAUACAAUUUGCGUAACUAUAAAUUUAUUAAAGUGAACAAUUAGCUUAUAUUUUUCAUCCUAGGAGCCAUCAAAUUACUUAAAUCAAAUGAGUUGAAAGUUUGAAUAGCAAAAUUAAAAUUUUGACAUGCAGUCGAAUCAAAAUUGUCCAUGUUUCAAAUAAAUUUUUACAUUUUUUACUUUAAUAUAUUUUAAAAACAAAAUUUAAUUUAAUAGAUAUUACAU